This 301-nucleotide ribosomal RNA is filed under the name uncultured bacterium. RNAcentral describes it as "partial 16S ribosomal RNA". It matches the Rfam family "Bacterial small subunit ribosomal RNA", at positions 509 to 808 of the family's 1533-position model. The record is from RNAcentral.
CAGCAGCCACGGUAAUACGUAGGUCCCGAGCGUUGUCCGGAUUUAUUGGGCGUAAAGCGAGCGCAGGCGGUUAGAUAAGUCUGAAGUUAAAGGCUGUGGCUUAACCAUAGUACGCUUUGGAAACUGUUUAACUUGAGUGCAAGAGGGGAGAGUGGAAUUCCAUGUGUAGCGGUGAAAUGCGUAGAUAUAUGGAGGAACACCGGUGGCGAAAGCGGCUCUCAGGCUUGUAACUGACGCUGAGGCUCGAAAGCGUGGGGAGCAAACGGGAUUAGAUACCCGUGUAGUCCCUGUCUCUUAUACA